UUUUUUUAAAGGUUAUUUGUCAAGACAAAAGAGAAGAAUUUCUUAUUCCUUCUAUUGAUUUUUGUAUAAACACUAGAGUCGUGUGUGCUUUGUAUACAUUGGAUAGACGAUUGUUUCUUUGAUCAAAACAACGAACGAACGUUUACUUGACUUUGAUAUUUCUCGAAUUAGUCUUCUUUCGUAUUCCGACGAGGAAACAUCGGGGCUCUCUCUCUCCAAACAAAACUCACAUCGUAAGGCUCGCUACACGGUUUGACGACUGCGGUCCAAGGAUCAUCGUGCCAAAUAUCGGGACGAUCAUAGAUAUUAUUAAUUUGAAAGGGUACGAAAUUGUUAUCAGAUACGCUAUUCAUAAAGUCGUACCAUCUUAAAAAAGAAAAGAAUAUGCGACUGGUGUCCCGAUUGCAUGUAAAUAUGUAAAAAAAAAAAGAUCUAGGACUCACUUUCUUGCUGUACAUCUGCUCGCACCGUGAGAACCACAGGUCAAAUCCAUCGCCAAACCACCACUGGACGGAUUAAUUACGUUUUUACACGAUUCAAACGUUUUAUUUAUAAAUUCUUCGGCCACGUGUAUCUAAAAUAAAAGCACGAUUUUUCUGA
Vespula pensylvanica (western yellowjacket) is the source of this 600-nucleotide long non-coding RNA. RefSeq lists it as uncharacterized. The transcript is spliced from 2 exons. NCBI's taxonomy places the organism in Eukaryota, Metazoa, Arthropoda, Insecta, Hymenoptera, Vespidae. The record is from RefSeq and is a predicted model, not a curated record.